This is a long non-coding RNA of Hippoglossus stenolepis (Pacific halibut), 468 nucleotides long. RefSeq lists it as uncharacterized. The record is from RefSeq and is a predicted model, not a curated record. The transcript has 4 exons. Lineage: Eukaryota; Metazoa; Chordata; Actinopteri; Pleuronectiformes; Pleuronectidae.
CGAUAUGAAAAGUAGAAGGAGAGAUUGAUCAGCAUUAUUCUUCUGAACUGUAUAUAAAGGGGAAGUCUUCCUCUGCCCCAACAGGAUUCCAACGUCUCACAGACGAAGGCUUCCACCAUCUCAGUGAAGAAGGACUUUUUACUCCGUCCCUCAUCUCUUCCUCAUCUCUUCCUCUAUACAUCAGUGUCCUUCUCUGCUGCAAACAUGAGGAACCUGAUCUCUGUGGCUGUGAUCGUUACUGUGGCAUUCACAGUAGCAGGCCUGAAACUCAGAGGAAAAGAAGUUUGUGUCACUUUCUUUAGUUUAUUUAUUCUUCCACUGCAUCUGCAAAAUCAUUAUUUCAAUUCAGUUUGAUUUGAUGUUACAGUUUAUUGGUAAAAUGUUCAUUUGGUAACAUGCGUCUCUUCUGUCUCCCUUUCUCCCAACCAAAGGUGCAGUUUGGAGACAUGAUUGCUUCUCCACCUAAGU